UUGUGUGUUCAAGUUUUUAAGGGCAUACGGUGGAUGCCUUGGCAUCAGGAGCCGAUGAAGGACGUGGGAGCCUGCGAUAUGCCUCGGGGAGUCGGCAACCAG
RNAcentral lists this ribosomal RNA (102 nucleotides) under Actinomadura sp. 7K507. RNAcentral's name for it is "partial 23S ribosomal RNA". It matches the Rfam family "Bacterial large subunit ribosomal RNA", at positions 1 to 95 of the family's 2925-position model. Lineage: Bacteria; Bacillati; Actinomycetota; Actinomycetes; Streptosporangiales; Thermomonosporaceae. The record is from RNAcentral.